This 300-nucleotide ribosomal RNA is filed under the name Triticum aestivum (bread wheat). RNAcentral's name for it is "partial small subunit ribosomal RNA". Lineage: Eukaryota; Viridiplantae; Streptophyta; Magnoliopsida; Poales; Poaceae. The record is from RNAcentral.
AUGGGUGGCGGGCCUGGCGGCGGUGCCGGUGCGCUCGCCUGGCUGCUCGUGGCCGUGCUCCUCCUGGCCCUGGGUUCUUCCACGAGCCCAGCAGCUUGCUCCUCGCGUGUCCUUCCAGCUGAAGAUGGUGACGUGAUGGUGCGGGCUGCCGGAGCCGGAGGAGCGUACGGCGGACGCGGAGGCGAGAGGGUUGUGGUGGGGAGGUCUCUGCUGCAGAGGGCGGCGUCGAGGCCGCCGUCGCCGGUGCCGAACCCGCCGAGGGCCACCGUCGCGCCGGGGACCCCGCCGCGGAAGGCGUAG